RNAcentral lists this long non-coding RNA (1650 nucleotides) under Sus scrofa (pig). RNAcentral describes it as "lncRNA (ENSSSCG00060022112.1)". The record is from RNAcentral. Lineage: Eukaryota; Metazoa; Chordata; Mammalia; Artiodactyla; Suidae.
UCCGCUGCUCGCGCCUCCCGCCCCGCCCGCGCGCGCCCGCCCCGGGAGGAGGGUGCGCGGCGGAGGCGCGGGGGGGGGGGGGGGGGGGGGGGAGUCGAGGAGGGGCCGCGCCCGGUCCUCGCCCGCAGCGGGCACCGCCGGGGGCCCCGGGAGGCCUUGUUGGUAUUCCGGGCACAGCAGAAGCCCUGACCUCCCCGCGGAACAGGGGAGCCCGGGAGCGCGGCGCGGCCGCCGCCCCCGGGCGGUCUCCCCGGACUGCGGGGCCGUAGGCGCCUUGCUCCCCCUCCUCCCUGUCCCCUCCUCUCCAGGUCCCCCGUACCCCCUCCCCCGGCCUGAUCCGGCGGCGAAGGGGUGGGCAGGGAAACGCGCUCUCUGGGACAGGUGCCAACUCCGAGACAAAAGACAUAAAAUAGGCGGCAACGGGGGAAGCGCGGCCGGCGCGCUCGGGCGGGGACGGAGGCGCCGCGGGGGCCGCAUCCUCGGUGCCGACCGGGGAAAGUUUGGGAAGUCGCCGCGGCGGCUUCGCAGCGGCGGGGGACACGCGGGCCGGGCCGCCCUCCGCGCCGCGCUCGCCCUCUCCGCGCCGCUGCUGAAUAAUUCAUGGCGCGGCCGCCGGCCAUUAGCAUGCACCGGGCGCGCGGCGCGUCUGUGCCCAGCCGUCGCCGCCGCAUUCGGCGCCCCGGCCGCGCUAGACGAGCGGCCGCGCAGAGGCCGGGCCCGCGCCGUCCCCGCGCUCGCCCGCCCGUCCGCCCGUCCGCCCACCCGGCGGCUCCCAUUGUGCCCCAGGCCCGCGCCGCUCCGCCGUCCUGUGACCGCCUGCGCCCCGCAGCGCGCCCGACGGCCGGCCGCUGGAAGUUCGGGCCCGCGGCGCACGCCCUGCCGCCCCGGGAUGCACGUGAACUUGGAGAAAGUCUCGGGGCGCGCCGGCGCAGACCUCCGCGGCAGGGCGUGGGCGCCCCUGGCCCCGCGCGCUUUCGUUUUCGUCUGGGACAAAGGUCCCUCGCGGCGCAGGUCGCGGACGUGGAGGCAGUGCCCUGCGGGCCACUCAGCGGGGAGGUCCGGUCGUUCAGUCAAGGGAAGCCGGAGCCUGGAGAAGACGAGCCGCGCGGUCGGAGGCGCGGUGCGGGACCAGGACAGUGGGGCCUGGCCGUGCGCUUCGCCCUGGCGGUCCAGGAGCUGUCUCGCCCUCCGAAGAGUUACGGGAGGUGGCACUGCUUUUGCUCUCUGCCCUUUCGACACGUGAAGGAGAGAAUCAUUCGGAACCCAGGACUCAGACCGGUGGCCGAGGGCCUGUGCAGCCGCGAGCACGACAGCGCAGCGCUGGCCGCGUCCGCGCGCGUUCCUCCGACAAGGGCAGAGCAGUCGACCAGCGCGCCCCAGUCUCGAUCGGGUUCAAGGCGACUCUUGAGGACGGUGUGGGGCUUUGAAAGUACAAUCCUGCAUGGCCUUACUGUGAAUGGAUGGGCACUUUGUCUCGGUCCGGAUGCAGGAGUCCUGCCUUUAGAGGCAGCUCAGAAGCCCUGUGGAUGGAUCGUACGAGCGCCCCGGCCCAGCCCACUUGCAGCCAGUGGUAGGAGGCUUGCCGAGCAGAGAUGUGACCGGCCGAGACUGCGGUUAUUAUCGCCAAAUGAGACUGGUAGUUGUGGUUAG